GAAGCUGACUGGAUGCAAUUGCUGCCAUCAGAAAAUAAGAGUGAGUGGGCUGAGGAGGCCAUCCUCCAUCCCAGCAGCUUCCCAGCUGGGAACACUGCUCAAAGGCAGAGCGAGGGUAUGAAGGUGCUAUUGCUUACGUGGUCCUAACAUUCACAAUCAUUUGAUUGCCAACAAUGACUGAACAUGCUUUGUUUAGUUUCUAUAAAUCAAGCAGAAUAUAUUAGCCAGGAAAUAGACCUCCCCUUGCAACCCCAAAGAACGGGGUUGUUCUUUUUCUUUUCAGAAUAAUCUGAACCCUGCUCCCCAGCUGGUGUAAAGCACCAGACGGCUCUGUUAGCACACCUCAGGCACAUCUGAGCUGUCACAAGUGAAAGGAGUUUAACAAGAUUAGGAAAAACAGUCAGAAAGGUUUUAAGGACCCUCCAUGCUGACAAAUAGUCUCAUUUAACACCACAUAAAUGGUCCUGUUGUGCUGGUUAAUUCCUGUUGCAUCUGUCAAGUAGUGCUUGCAGUAAAUUAAAUCUGUAUGUUAAUAGUAUAUGUGUGUGGCUGAUGGACAAGCAAAAACUGUCUGCAAAAAGUGGAUGUCUCCAUGUGCACCUGGACCUGGUGAAAAAAGGCUGGUUGCCUUUGUUACCAGUCUUGAUUCUGCCACCUGGAUAUUACAGCAACAUUUAAAAUGUGAGAUGCCAACAUGAGUGAAACAGGCAAGUGGCAUUUGAGAGUGCGGAGCCAAAAUUUAACUGUGUUUUGACAGAGAGGGACUCUUUCCUACCUUAAUUGAUAGAGGGGGCUGAACACAUGCAGAGAAAUACCUGUAUUUCCUAUCCGUGUGCUACAAGCAUCUUCAAGGGCAAAGAGAAGGUAGCAAGGAAGAAUGUGGAUUGCUGUAACCUGUUGUUACUUCGUGCCCCUACUUAUUGCACAGAUGAAGUCUGUCUGCAUGGUAGUCCUUGAGUUCACUGUGUGAAGUUGUCUGAAGGCUUAAUUAAUCUUAGAAUAAUAGAAUAAUUUAGGUUGGAAAAGACCCUGAAAAUCACCAAGUCCAAGUAUCAAGCUAACACU
RNAcentral lists this long non-coding RNA (1065 nucleotides) under Anas platyrhynchos platyrhynchos (common mallard). RNAcentral describes it as "lncRNA (ENSAPLG00000016459.1)". The record is from RNAcentral. Lineage: Eukaryota; Metazoa; Chordata; Aves; Anseriformes; Anatidae.